UGAUGCAAAUUAUGUCUGCGGGAAAAAAGGGGGAGUUUUUUUUUUAAAUCGAAAAAAUCGUAAAUAUAUUCUAGUGAAGGUGAAUGAUCGAUAUAUCCAGGAAUACUCAUUAUGACAUACCCCAAAAAUUCGUCCCAUAAAACCAGAUUUUUACAAUGUAUUCACUACGUUCUUAUAAUGUCGAUACGACGUAACAAAAUGUU
Molecule: long non-coding RNA, 203 nt
Filed under: Mytilus galloprovincialis (Mediterranean mussel)
Lineage: Eukaryota; Metazoa; Mollusca; Bivalvia; Mytilida; Mytilidae
Source: RNAcentral